RNAcentral lists this ribosomal RNA (460 nucleotides) under uncultured bacterium. RNAcentral's name for it is "partial 16S ribosomal RNA". It matches the Rfam family "Bacterial small subunit ribosomal RNA", at positions 338 to 795 of the family's 1533-position model. The record is from RNAcentral.
CCUACGGGUGGCAGCAGUGAGGAAUAUUGGUCAAUGGACGAGAGUCUGAACCAGCCAAGUAGCGUGAAGGAUGACUGCCCUAUGGGUUGUAAACUUCUUUUAUAUGGGAAUAAAAUGUUCCACGUGUGGGAUUUUGUAUGUACCAUAUGAAUAAGGAUCGGCUAACUCCGUGCCAGCAGCCGCGGUAAUACGGAGGAUCCGAGCGUUAUCCGGAUUUAUUGGGUUUAAAGGGAGCGUAGGUGGAUUGUUAAGUCAGUUGUGAAAGUUUGCGGCUCAACCGUAAAAUUGCAGUUGAUACUGGCAGUCUUGAGUACAGUAGAGGUGGGCGGAAUUCGUGGUGUAGCGGUGAAAUGCUUAGAUAUCACGAAGAACUCCGAUUGCGAAGGCAGUUCACUAAACUGCAACUGACACUGAGGCUCGAAAGUGUGGGUAUCAAACAGGAUUAGAUACCCGGGUAGUC